This 678-nucleotide long non-coding RNA is filed under the name Daphnia pulicaria. RNAcentral's name for it is "uncharacterized LOC124350330". The record is from RNAcentral. Lineage: Eukaryota; Metazoa; Arthropoda; Branchiopoda; Diplostraca; Daphniidae.
AAAACUCAUGUUUGAAGCACACAUAUACUGGAAUACAAAUGUUCUGAGAUAAGGAUCUUUUCUGAAUCUCGCAAUUUUGGUGGUGUACCCUGCAACAGCAUGUUUGUUGCUGUUUUUACUUCUGUUUAGAAGGUCAUCCAGCUAAGAGAUAGAGUUUCAGAGACGUGAAGAGUGUGAAGUGACCUGCCAUGUUUAUACCAGAUCUGCUUGAUGAAAGUCAAAUGCCUUACUAAAUUCAUAUCCCAUAUGAUAAAGCAUCAGGAAAUUUAUCUCAACAUGUGAGUGCUGAACAUGGAUUGCUGUGAAUUCCAUUUUUAUGGUUUUUUCAUCAUGAACAUUUUAGUGUGCUUCUUAGAAAAGAGCACGCAGUUCCUUUAUGGAUACGUGUGGUCCUGGCACGGAGAUUCUUGUGCCAACCUUGUGCUGACCUUUGUCCAUGACGAAGAGGAACUUCCACCAAUGUCUUCUCUCAUCCUUAUCUUCGCGACGUCCGCUCAUCUAGCUUCACUGCUUUGUAUGAACUGCUACACAACUUGUCUUACUUCACUGACGAGUUGGAUCACUUCAGUGUUCGCUUCCGCCCGCUGUGACACACCUGUAAUCAUUCACCGCGGGAUUAUGCCCAGGUACCCAACAAUUGACUUAUUUUCGUAGGUUAUCCGUUAUCUAAUAGUCUAG